UACGAAGGGGGCUAGCGUUGCUCGGAAUCACUGGGCGUAAAGCGCACGUAGGCGGAUUGUUAAGUCAGGGGUGAAAUCCUGGAGCUCAACUCCAGAACUGCCUUUGAUACUGGCGAUCUUGAGUCCGGGAGAGGUGAGUGGAACUGCGAGUGUAGAGGUGAAAUUCGUAGAUAUUCGCAAGAACACCAGUGGCGAAGGCGGCUCACUGGCCCGGUACUGACGCUGAGGCGCGAAAGCAAGGGGAUCAAACAGG
This 253-nucleotide ribosomal RNA is filed under the name uncultured bacterium. RNAcentral describes it as "partial 16S ribosomal RNA". It matches the Rfam family "Bacterial small subunit ribosomal RNA", at positions 524 to 776 of the family's 1533-position model. The record is from RNAcentral.